This 502-nucleotide ribosomal RNA is filed under the name uncultured bacterium. Its description in RNAcentral is "bacterial SSU rRNA". It matches the Rfam family "Bacterial small subunit ribosomal RNA", at positions 8 to 473 of the family's 1533-position model. The record is from RNAcentral.
AGAGUUUGAUCAUGGCUCAGAUUGAACGCUGGCGGUAUGCUUAACACAUGCAAGUCGAACGGUAACAGUCCCUCACCUAGAAAUUUCUUAAAAAGAGAUUUGUAGGUGAGGGAGCUGACGAGUGGCGGACGGGUGCGUAAUGUAUAGGAAUCUGCCCGGUAGUGGGGGACAACUCGGAGAAAUUCGAGCUAAUACCGCAUAAGCCCUACGGGGGAAAACGGGGGAUCUUCGGACCUCGUGCUAUUAGAUGAGCCUAUAUUAGAUUAGCUUGUUGGUGAGGUAAUGGCUUACCAAGGCGACGAUCUAUAGCUGGUCUGAGAGGAUGAUCAGCCACACUGGGACUGAGACACGGCCCAGACUCCUACGGGAGGCAGCAGUGGGGAAUAUUGGACAAUGGGCGAAAGCCUGAUCCAGCAAUACCGCGUGUGUGAAGAAGGCCUGAGGGUUGUAAAGCACUUUCAAUUGGGAGGAAUACCUAAUAGUUAAUAGCUAUUAGAUUGAC